GGCGGGGCCUAACACAUGCAAGUCGAGCGGAUGACGGGAGCUUGCUCCUUGAUUCAGCGGCGGACGGGUGAGUAAUGCCUAGGAAUCUGCCUGGUAGUGGGGGACAACGUUUCNAAAGGAACGCUAAUACCGCAUACGUCCUACGGGAGAAAGCAGGGGACCUUCGGGCCUUGCGCUAUCAGAUGAGCCUAGGUCGGAUUAGCUAGUUGGUGAGGUAAUGGCUCACCAAGGCGACGAUCCGUAACUGGUCUGAGAGGAUGAUCAGUCACACUGGAACUGAGACACGGUCCAGACUCCUACGGGAGGCAGCAGUGGGGAAUAUUGGACAAUGGGCGAAAGCCUGAUCCAGCCAUGCCGCGUGUGUGAAGAAGGUCUUCGGAUUGUAAAGCACUUUAAGUUGGGAGGAAGGGCAGUAAGCUAAUACCUUGCUGUUUUGACGUUACCGACAGAAUAAGCACCGGCUAACUCUGUGUCAACAGCCGCGGUAAUACAGACGGUGCAAGCGUUAAUCGGAAUUCCUGGGCUCAAAGUGCGUGCNCGAGGUUCGUCCAGUUUUUCGUUUUUUCUUUGGGCUCUUCCGGCCACUGU
RNAcentral lists this ribosomal RNA (588 nucleotides) under Pseudomonas sp. HPCKc-38. Its description in RNAcentral is "bacterial SSU rRNA". It matches the Rfam family "Bacterial small subunit ribosomal RNA", at positions 41 to 626 of the family's 1533-position model. The record is from RNAcentral. Lineage: Bacteria; Pseudomonadati; Pseudomonadota; Gammaproteobacteria; Pseudomonadales; Pseudomonadaceae.